Molecule: ribosomal RNA, 615 nt
Filed under: Triticum aestivum (bread wheat)
Lineage: Eukaryota; Viridiplantae; Streptophyta; Magnoliopsida; Poales; Poaceae
Description: partial small subunit ribosomal RNA
Source: RNAcentral
AUGCCUGAGAGUGAGUUCCACCUGCGCAUGCGCUUGCUGCUCGAGCUGACGCAGGUGGGAACCGUGGCUGAGUACACGACGUUGUUCUGGGAGCGCCUACACCAUGUGCUGCAUCUUGACUCCAGUCUAAGCAUCAAGAGCUUUGUCCACCCGUACAUCGAUGGCUUGCGCAAGGAUAUUCAAGUAGCUGUGCACUCGCAAUCGCCAUCUAGCAUCACCAGAGCGUCCUGCCUUGCUAGAAUUAGGGAGGAAGAGAUCAUGAAGGAUGAGGCCAUGGCUGUCGAGGAGCGUGUCAAUGGCUACGACCAUGGAGUUCAUGGUCUCAUGCCUACUGAGACCCUCUGCAUCGUCUCCACCAAGCUCGAGGUCCCAGUGUUGUGCAGUGCAGAUCGCGGCGUCGACGCCAGCAGCCUUGCUGCUCCAACACCGAUCAUGUGCUCAACGGAUUACCCAAGUUGUGACGCCACCAUCGACAUCUCCCCUGAUCUUGCAACCUCUGCUAUGUGUGGCGAAGCUCUCGACACCAACACCUUUAGUGUCGCCACACCAACCCCGUGGUGGCGACCGAUUCCUUCCCUCAAGUUCGUCAUGACGACGCCCACCAGGUUUUGUUGA